GAUGAACGCUGGCGGCGUGCCUAAUACAUGCAAGUCGAGCGAACGGACGAGAAGCUUGCUUCUCUGAUGUUAGCGGCGGACGGGUGAGUAACACGUGGAUAACCUACCUAUAAGACUGGGAUAACUUCGGGAAACCGUAGCUAAUACCGGAUAAUAUUUUGAACCGCAUGGUUCAAAGGUGAAAGACGGUCUUGCUGUCACUUAUAGAUGGAUCCGCGCUGCAUUAGCUAGUUGGUAAGGUAACGGCUUACCAAGGGAACGAUGCAUAGCCGACCUGAUAGGGUGAUCGGCCACACUGGAACGGAGACACGGUCCAGACUCCUACGGGAGGCAGCAGUAGGGAAUCUUCCGCAAUGGGCGAAAGCCUGACGGAGCAACGCCGCGUGAGUGAUGAAGGUCUUCGGAUCGUAAAACUCUGUUAUUAGGGAAGAACAUAUGUGUAAGUAACUGUGCACAUCUUGACGGUACCUAAUCAGAAAGCCACGGCUAACUACGUG
This 497-nucleotide ribosomal RNA is filed under the name uncultured bacterium. Its description in RNAcentral is "partial 16S ribosomal RNA". It matches the Rfam family "Bacterial small subunit ribosomal RNA", at positions 28 to 507 of the family's 1533-position model. The record is from RNAcentral.